This 827-nucleotide ribosomal RNA is filed under the name uncultured bacterium. RNAcentral's name for it is "bacterial SSU rRNA". It matches the Rfam family "Bacterial small subunit ribosomal RNA", at positions 57 to 849 of the family's 1533-position model. The record is from RNAcentral.
GCAGUCGAACGAACUCUGGUAUUGAUUGGUGCUUGCAUCAUGAUUUACAUUUGAGUGAGUGGCGAACUGGUGAGUAACACGUGGGAAACCUGCCCAGAAGCGGGGGAUAACACCUGGAAACAGAUGCUAAUACCGCAUAACAACUUGGACCGCAUGGUCCGAGCUUGAAAGAUGGCUUCGGCUAUCACUUUUGGAUGGUCCCGCGGCGUAUUAGCUAGAUGGUGGGGUAAUGGCUCACCAUGGCAAUGAUACGUAGCCGACCUGAGAGGGUAAUCGGCCACAUUGGGACUGAGACACGGCCCAAACUCCUACGGGAGGCAGCAGUAGGGAAUCUUCCACAAUGGACGAAAGUCUGAUGGAGCAACGCCGCGUGAGUGAAGAAGGGUUUCGGCUCGUAAAACUCUGUUGUUAAAGAAGAACAUAUCUGAGAGUAACUGUUCAGGUAUUGACGGUAUUUAACCAGAAAGCCACGGCUAACUACGUGCCAGCAGCCGCGGUAAUACGUAGGUGGCAAGCGUUGUCCGGAUUUAUUGGGCGUAAAGCGAGCGCAGGCGGUUUUUUAAGUCUGAUGUGAAAGCCUUCGGCUCAACCGAAGAAGUGCAUCGGAAACUGGGAAACUUGAGUGCAGAAGAGGACAGUGGAACUCCAUGUGUAGCGGUGAAAUGCGUAGAUAUAUGGAAGAACACCAGUGGCGAAGGCGGCUGUCUGGUCUGUAACUGACGCUGAGGCUCGAAAGUAUGGGUAGCAAACAGGAUUAGAUACCCUGGUAGUCCAUACCGUAAACGAUGAAUGCUAAGUGUUGGAGGGUUUCCGCCCUUCAGUGCUGC